RNAcentral lists this unclassified non-coding RNA (269 nucleotides) under plant metagenome. RNAcentral describes it as "partial contains small subunit ribosomal RNA, internal transcribed spacer 1, and 5.8S ribosomal RNA". The record is from RNAcentral.
GUUCCGUAGGUGAACCUGCGGAAGGAUCAUUAAUGAGUUGUCAUGGGGUUCGAUGCUGGCAGCCAAUUUUUGGAUGCAUGUGCUUGCCCUAACAAUCACCUUCCAAACACCUGUGCACAUUUUUGAGGGAGUCUUGAGUUGGUUGCCGCUCUUGGGUGAUUUUCUCACAUUCCCUUAAAUCAUUAUACGCUAUUAACAAUGUUGAACGUGCUCUGUGCCGCAAGGCUAUUAAUAUAAUACAACUUUUAACAACGGAUCUCUUGGCUCUC